GGCCAACCAUUAGGUGAUGACUAUUUGAUGCAAGAUGGAUAUCUCUUCAAAAAUGAUUGUUUGUGCAUUCCAAGAAGUUCUCUACGUGACAAGCUGGUUAGAGAGCUCCAUUCAAGUGAUCUUAGUGGCCAUCUUGGACGGGAUAAGACUAUCGCUAACCUGGAAGCUCGCUACUUUUGGCCACAACUAAAGACAGAUGUUGGAAAGUUCGUUCAACGGUGCCCCGUAUGUCAGACCUGCAAAGGCCAAGUCCAUAACACAGGGUUAUACAUGCCUUUGCAUGUUCCUGUUGCUCCAUGGGAGGACAUUUCUAUGGACUUCGUCUUGGGCUUGCCAAGAACAAGACGAGGAAGUGAUGCUGUAUUUGUGGUCGUGGAUAGAUUCUCUAAGAUGGCUCAUUUC
RNAcentral lists this ribosomal RNA (402 nucleotides) under Triticum aestivum (bread wheat). Its description in RNAcentral is "partial small subunit ribosomal RNA". The record is from RNAcentral. Lineage: Eukaryota; Viridiplantae; Streptophyta; Magnoliopsida; Poales; Poaceae.